Molecule: unclassified non-coding RNA, 366 nt
Filed under: uncultured fungus
Lineage: Eukaryota; Fungi
Description: sequence contains ITS1
Rfam family: 5.8S ribosomal RNA (bases 1-106)
Source: RNAcentral
GAAAUGCGAUACGUAAUGCGAAUUGCAGAAUUCAGUGAAUCAUCGAAUUUUUGAACGCAAAUUGCGCUCUCGGGAUAGGCCUGAGAGCAUGUUUCUUUGAGCCUCGUGUCUAAACCACCUCGGCUGCGUGCCGGAAAAUGAAAGUCUUGUGUCAAUGGAACGCAAGUCUUUUUAAGCUCAUUGAGUCCAUUCUUCGAUUCGCUUUGCUAGCUGACUAUUGCAAAGCGGCGCGAUUAGAGGUUUUAAUUAACUUAUUUUCUCGCUGUGUUGCAACUGAUGGCUUGUGAUGUGAUCAGAGAUAUGAACGAUACGGAAACCAUUUUUGACUUAGAGCUCAAAUGAAGCAAGAUAACCCGCUGAACUUAA